Molecule: long non-coding RNA, 1817 nt
Filed under: Setaria viridis
Lineage: Eukaryota; Viridiplantae; Streptophyta; Magnoliopsida; Poales; Poaceae
Description: long non-coding RNA (SVIR_LNC000955)
Source: RNAcentral
UUAGAAACCAUAAACAGUGAAGAUGUCGCAGCCUGCUGAGCUUUCCCGUGAGGAAAACAUUUACAUGGCUAAGCUUGCAGAGCAGGCUGAGAGGUAUGAGGAGAUGGUUGAGUUCAUGGAGAAGGUGGCUAAGGCAGUUGAUUCUGAGGAGCUUACUGUGGAGGAGCGCAACCUUCUGUCAGUUGCUUACAAGAAUGUCAUUGGAGCCCGGCGUGCCUCAUGGCGCAUCAUAUCCUCCAUUGAGCAGAAAGAAGAGGGUCGUGGCAAUGAGGACCGUGUCACUCUUAUUAAGGACUACCGUAGCAAGAUAGAAGUUGAACUCACCAAGAUCUGUGAUGGAAUUCUCAAGCUCCUUGAUUCCCACCUUGUCCCCUCAUCCACAGCUCCAGAGUCCAAGGUCUUCUACCUCAAGAUGAAGGGUGACUACUACAGGUAUUAAAAUAAUACUAUUGGCAUUUUCUAUCUCUCUCUCUCUUUUUUGCUGCAUUGUUGUAUCAUUUUGGUUGAAUCAAUGUAUAACAGGUACCUUGCGGAGUUUAAAACUGGAUCUGAGAGGAAGGAUGCAGCUGAGAACACCAUGGUGGCAUACAAAGCUGCUCAGGUUAUUUGCUUGUACUGCAUUCGCACUCCUAAUGUUAAAUUUUGUUGGAUGGGGCAUUAUAUUUUUCAUAUGCCCAAUUCAUCAUUCAGUGUAUUGUGUUGCUAAUACUUUUUCUGCCAAACCUUUCAGGAUAUUGCACUGGCAGAGCUGUCCCCCACUCAUCCUAUUAGGCUUGGGCUGGCACUCAACUUCUCAGUAUUUUAUUACGAGAUCCUCAACUCUCCUGACCGUGCUUGCAAUCUUGCCAAGCAGGUUUGAUUUCUAGAUCCACUACAUGAACCGUGUACUGCUUUUCAUUGGUCAUUUCAAUCCUUAUGAAAAUACGAACUGAAUGCGAGCUAUGUGGAUUUAUGGGCCUGAGGAUAUUAUGCAUUUCACAGUUCAACACAACUGUUGUGAAUAAUUUGGGUUGAGUUUAAUCAAAACUAGUGCAAUACAUCAGGAAUUUGUUUAUAGACAAUAUGAGCAACUAAAGGUGUGGUAGAUCUGAACUAACGGUGAAGACAGGUGAUAGUGCAUCAUGAUCAACUAAAUGCCAUUUGUAAACUUCUUAAUACAUUUAAGCAAAAUUUAGAUCAAGUGGCUAAUGAUGAGCCAGAAGAAUAAGUGCAAGCAACUAACAAUGCAUUAUUCUGUUGAGUUAAUUUUCUUGAUCCAGUUAAGGUUUGCCAUUGGGUGGACCCUCCUUUCCCUCCUUAAUCUUCUUGAGAACUCGGGCCGUCCCUUUCCUAUUUAGUAGAGCUAUAUACCAGUCUUAAAUAUUCGUGGUCGCUUAUUCUGCCUUGAUUGCUCCAGGCUUUUGAUGAGGCAAUCUCAGAGCUGGACACCCUGAGUGAGGAAUCCUACAAGGACAGCACUCUGAUCAUGCAGCUUCUGCGUGAUAACUUGACCCUGUGGACUUCAGACAUCACGGUAUCUCCAUCCUAGCAUAUUUCCACUUAAGUCCUUUUUAUUUUCUGGAGUCAUCGUGUAUAUAUAUUCAAAUUCCAUUUGCUUGGCUCUAGGAGGAUGCUGCCGAUGACAUCAAGGAGGCUCCCAAGGGCGAGUCUGGAGAUGGGCAGUAAAGAUGAUCCAUGUGCCCAGAAACUACAUUUCAGUGUUCGUCUACUAGUGAAUCUGCCAAUGUGCUAUGGGUUCUUGUUUCGUUGGUAUAGGCUGUAUUGUUGCUUGUGAUAGCUGGAAAUUGGAGACUCCCAUUUGUGUCGUGCUUGAAAGG